GGGCCCGCACAAGCGGUGGAGCAUGUGGUUCAAUUCGACGCAACGCGAAGAACCUUACCUGGGCUCGAACGGCUUCCUAACGGUCUGUGAAAGCAGGCUAUCCCGCAAGGGAGUGGAGUCGAGGUGCUGCAUGGCUGUCGUCAGCUCGUGUCGUGAGAUGUUGGGUUAAGUCCCGCAACGAGCGCAACCCUUGUCCUGUGUUGCAAACCGAAAGGUGCACUCGCAGGAGACCGCCAGCGAUAAGUUGGAGGAAGGUGGGGAUGACGUCAAGUCAUCAUGGCCUUUAUGUCCAGGGCUACACACGUGCUACAAUGGACGGUACAAAGCGCCGCAAACCCGCGAGGGGGAGCAAAUCGCAAAAAACCGUUCUCAGUUCGGAUUGCAGGCUGCAACUCGCCUGCAUGAAGCUGGAAUCGCUAGUAAUGGCAUAUCAGAAUGAUGCCGUGAAUACGUUCCCGGGCCUUGUACACACCGCCCGUCACAU
Molecule: ribosomal RNA, 484 nt
Filed under: uncultured bacterium
Lineage: Bacteria
Description: bacterial SSU rRNA
Rfam family: Bacterial small subunit ribosomal RNA
Source: RNAcentral